GGAGAGGUGACCGAGUGGCUUAAGGUGCGCGACUGGAAAUCGCGUGGGCGGGUUAAACCGCCUCGUGGGUUCGAAUCCCACCCUCUCCG
This 89-nucleotide transfer RNA is filed under the name Actinobacteria bacterium 13_1_20CM_3_68_9. RNAcentral's name for it is "tRNA-Ser". It matches the Rfam family "tRNA". From Rfam's summary of the family: Transfer RNA (tRNA) molecules are approximately 80 nucleotides in length. Their secondary structure includes four short double-helical elements and three loops (D, anti-codon, and T loops). Further hydrogen bonds mediate the characteristic L-shaped molecular structure. tRNAs have two regions of fundamental functional importance: the anti-codon, which is responsible for specific mRNA codon recognition, and the 3' end, to which the tRNAs corresponding amino acid is attached (by aminoacyl-tRNA synthetases). tRNAs cope with the degeneracy of the genetic code in two manners: having more than one tRNA (with a specific anti-codon) for a particular amino acid; and 'wobble' base-pairing, i.e. permitting non-standard base-pairing at the 3rd anti-codon position. Lineage: Bacteria; Bacillati; Actinomycetota. The record is from RNAcentral. RNAcentral also lists the same sequence under 2 other names.